Molecule: ribosomal RNA, 430 nt
Filed under: Pseudomonadota bacterium
Lineage: Bacteria; Pseudomonadati; Pseudomonadota
Description: Proteobacteria bacterium partial 16S ribosomal RNA
Rfam family: Bacterial small subunit ribosomal RNA
Source: RNAcentral
UGGGGAAUAUUGGACAAUGGGGGGAACCCUGAUCCAGCCAUGCCGCGUGUGUGAAGAAGGCCUUAUGGUUGUAAAGCACUUUAAGCGAGGAGGAGGGUACUGGUAUUAAUACUACCAGGUACUGGACGUUACUCGCAGAAUAAGCACCGGCUAACUCUGUGCCAGCAGCCGCGGUAAUACAGAGGGUGCGAGCGUUAAUCGGAUUUACUGGGCGUAAAGCGUGCGUAGGCGGCUAAUUGAGUCGGAUGUGAAAUCCCCGAGCUUAACUUGGGAAUUGCAUUCGAUACUGGUUAGCUAGAGUGUGGGAGAGGAUGGUAGAAUUUCCUGUGUAGCGGUGAAAUGCGUAGAUAUAGGAAGGAACACCAGUGGCGAAGGCGACCACCUGGGCUCAUACUGACACUGAGGUGCGAAAGCGUGGGGAGCAAACAGG